AUACGGAGGAUGCAAGCGUUAUCCGGAUUUAUUGGGUUUAAAGGGUGCGUAGGCGGGAUUUUAAGCGUGAGGUGAAAUGCCACGGCUCAACCGUGGAACUGCCUCGCGAACUGGGAUUCUUGAAUGCCCCUGCCGUGGGAGGAAUGGGUGGUGUAGCGGUGAAAUGCAUAGAGAUCACACAGAACACCGAUUGCGAAGGCAUCUCACGAAGGGGUGAUUGACGCUGAGGCACGAAAGCGUGGGGAUCAAACAGGAUUAGAUACCCUGGUAGUCCACGCAGUAAACGAUGAUAACUAACCGCUGGGGAGCGAUUUUCAGUGGCCAAGCGAAAGCGAUAAGUUAUCCACCUGGGGAGUACGACCGCAAGGUUGAAACUCAAAGGAAUUGACGGGG
Molecule: ribosomal RNA, 393 nt
Filed under: uncultured bacterium
Lineage: Bacteria
Description: partial 16S ribosomal RNA
Rfam family: Bacterial small subunit ribosomal RNA
Source: RNAcentral